Molecule: ribosomal RNA, 444 nt
Filed under: uncultured bacterium
Lineage: Bacteria
Description: bacterial SSU rRNA
Rfam family: Bacterial small subunit ribosomal RNA
Source: RNAcentral
GCCAGACUCCUACGGGAGGCAGCAGUGGGGAAUAUUGCACAAUGGGGGAAACCCUGAUGCAGCGACGCCGCGUGAGUGAAGAAGUAUUUCGGUAUGUAAAGCUCUAUCAGCAGGGAAGAAAAUGACGGUACCUGACUAAGAAGCCCCGGCUAACUCCGUGCCAGCAGCCGCGGUAAUACGGAGGAUGCGAGCGUUAUCCGGAUUUAUUGGGUUUAAAGGGUGCGUAGGCGGAGUGUCAAGUCAGCGGUAAAAUUUCGGGGCUCAACCCCGUCGUGCCGUUGAAACUGACACCCUUGAGUGAGUGAGAAGUAAGCGGAAUGCGUGGUGUAGCGGUGAAAUGCAUAGAUAUCACGCAGAACGCCGAUUGCGAAGGCAGCUUACCGGCGCUCAACUGACGCUGAGGCACGAAAGUGCGGGUAUCGAACAGGAUUAGAUACCCCCGUA